This 28-nucleotide small nuclear RNA is filed under the name Cervus elaphus hippelaphus. The record is from RNAcentral. Lineage: Eukaryota; Metazoa; Chordata; Mammalia; Artiodactyla; Cervidae.
UGCUCGCUUCAGCAGCAUAUAUACUAAA